GAUGAAAUGAGAACCAGCCAUAAUGUUUGGUUAAAUCUCAAUCCUUAUGUCUUAUGCACUUCUGUUAAUUAAAUGUUUUGGAAAAUAGCUCUACACUGACUUAAAUAAGAGAGAGCAUCCAAAGAAGAAAGGUGCCAGAAAAGACAGAAAAAAAGUAAUGGGAAAGAAAACGGCAAGACAACUGCUUGGGUGGCUGUUGCCUUAGUAACAGGAGGGUAAUUAAGAGGGUGAGGAUCGAUGUAAUAGAUUAGUAGGGGAACAGAAUAAACACUAUGCGGUGAAGAAAGGGAUGGUAUAUAAAAGGGAAGCCUCUCACGCCAAGGGGACUGGUUGUAAUGACACCGAAUGAAAUUCUAUGGGAGAGAAGACCAUAAUUCAAUAUGCUGCGACCAUGGAGUGGGCUAGGGCAUUGGAGAAAAUUACUGCGGGCAUGGAAACAGCCGGACCCCUGAUCCAACGCAAACACACCGCCACCACGUUUCCAGGACAGAAGCAGAGUACGGUAAACAGAAGAGGAACUAUUCAAGAGGCAGCGUACAGCAGGCGGUAUGUACAUAAGAAAAGUUAUGAAUUUAGGGUAGACCAUAGAUGGGGGUGGGCAAACGUUUUGGC
Molecule: long non-coding RNA, 612 nt
Filed under: Chrysemys picta bellii (western painted turtle)
Lineage: Eukaryota; Metazoa; Chordata; Testudines; Emydidae
Description: lncRNA (ENSCPBG00000005690.1)
Source: RNAcentral